UACGUAGGGCGCAAGCGUUGUCCGGAAUUAUUGGGCGUAAAGAGCUCGUAGGUGGCGUGUCGCGUCUGCCGUGAAAGCCCAUGGCUUAACUGUGGGUCUGCGGUGGAUACGGGCAGGCUGGAGGCUGGUAGGGGCAAGCGGAAUUCCUGGUGUAGCGGUGAAAUGCGCAGAUAUCAGGAGGAACACCGGUGGCGAAGGCGGCUUGCUGGGCCAGUUCUGACGCUGAGGAGCGAAAGCGUGGGGGGGAGCGAACAGG
This 256-nucleotide ribosomal RNA is filed under the name uncultured bacterium. Its description in RNAcentral is "partial 16S ribosomal RNA". It matches the Rfam family "Bacterial small subunit ribosomal RNA", at positions 524 to 776 of the family's 1533-position model. The record is from RNAcentral.